Molecule: ribosomal RNA, 432 nt
Filed under: uncultured bacterium
Lineage: Bacteria
Description: bacterial SSU rRNA
Rfam family: Bacterial small subunit ribosomal RNA
Source: RNAcentral
GUGGACGCUAGCGGCGCGCCUAACACAUGCAAGUCGAGUGGGUUUAGACCCACGGCAAACGGCUGCGUAACACGUUGGAACCUGCCCCGAACUCAGGGAUAUCCCUCCGAAAGGAGGAGUAAUACCGGAUGCCCUCGCAAGAGGAAAGAUUUAUCGGUUCGGGAGGGGCCUGCGGCCUAUCAGCUAGUUGGUGAGGUAACGGCUCACCAAGGCAAUGACGGGUAGCUGAUCUGAGAGGAUGAUCAGCCAGAAUGGAACUGCGACACGGUCCAUACUCCUACGGGAGGCAGCAGUGAGGAAUCUUCCGCAAUGGACGAAAGUCUGACGGAGCGACGCCGCGUGGUGGAUGAAGGCCUUCACUGGUCGUAAACACCUGUUCUGAGGGACGAAAUUUUUGACGGUACCUCAGGAGAAAGUAUCGGCAAACCCUGU